AUGAGAGCCACCUCCCCAUCUGCAGAUGCCCAGGAGCCAGGGAAGGAGGUGGAGGCUGACAAGCCCACAGCUAGUCCCCCAGCAAGCCAUGCUCCCCCAAAGACACCUGCGCGGACAGCCGCCAAGAGGAAAACAUCCCUGACAUCGGAUCUUCCCCUGUCACUACCACUGCCCCGGCCUGUUCCAUGGGGUCUAGUUCCUUCUGUCCUUUCCAACAUGGCCUCAGUCACUGUCCCCAUUUCUGGAGGCAAUGCCUCCUCACUAGCCAAACAACCCUCGGAUGAUGAUGAUGCUAUGGAUAUAAUACCACCUUCGCAGGCAUCAAAUUUUAUUGUCUAUCUCAAUGAACAACCACUCUGCAUUGAACCAGCACAUGCCGCGGGAGCGCCCCAGGUUGGGGAGCAGACGGCUUCUGCCCCUCCGGAAGCUCGCGGGCGCCCUCUCAGCCUGUCGGCCGCGGCCAUGGUAAGCUCGGCGCGGCGUCCUCUGCAGCCCUACCUGCGCCUCAUGAGGCUGGACAAGCCCAUGGGGACCUGGCUACUGUAUUUGCCAUGUACCUGGAGCAUUGGUUUGGAAGCUGAACCAGGUUGUUUUCCAGACUGGUACAUGUUAUCCCUCUUUGGCACUGGAGCUAUCCUGAUGCGUGGAGCAGGCUGUACUAUUAAUGACAUGUGGGACCGUGACUACGAUAAAAAGGUUAAAAGAACAGCAAAUCGUCCGAUAGCUGCUGGAGACAUUUCAACUUUCCAGUCCUUUGUUUUUCUUGGAGGACAGCUGAGCUUGGCACUGGGUGUUCUUCUGUGUCUGAAUUACUACAGCUCUGGGAGCAGCAUCCUUACUUCUCGUCAUCACUUACCCACUAAUGAAAAGAAUCACAUACUGGCCUCAGUUAGCCUUGGGGUUAACUUUUAAUUGGGGAGCAUUGCUUGGAUGGUCUGCUAUCAAGGGUUCCUGUGAUCCAUCUGUGUGCUUGCCUCUUUACUUUUCUGGAGUUAUGUGGACACUGAUAUAUGAUACCAUCUAUGCCCAUCAGGACAAGAAAGACGAUGUUCUGAUUGGUCUGAAGUCCACAGCACUGCUGUUCAGAGAAAACACUAAGCAGUGGCUCAGUGGCUUCAGUGUUGCCAUGCUGGGAGCACUGAGCCUGGUGGGUGUGAACAGCAGUCAGACUGCACCCUACUACACCGCUCUGGCCGCUGUCAGAGCCCACCUGGCUCACCAGAUUUACACUCUAGACAUCCACAGUCCUGCAGAACAGUAGGAAUGAUCCUUUUUUUAGGGAUCAUCCUUGGAAAUUUAUGGAAAGAAAAGAAGACAGAUCAAAUAAACAAACAAAGAUAGUAGAAUGGGAAAUUGGCCAAUGAACUAGGAGAAGUAACACACCUUUAAUCCCAGCAUUCAGGAAGUGGAAACAGGAGGAUCAAGAGUUCAAGACCAGCCUGGGCUACAAGCUACAUCAUAAGACAAUGCUCCUUAAAAACCAUAGGAUGGGGAUGAAGUUCAGUAGCAGAGCACAUACCCAGAAUGUGCCAGGCUCUGAAUAUCCUCAGCACCUAAAAACAAAAAUUAGCAAAUAGUUUAUCUAGGAAUUAUGAAAAUAUUUUUUAAAAAACAUUCUGAGUUCUUAUAGCCACAUUAUUAGAUUUGAAUGACUAGCCAGUUACAAUAUGUUAAAGAAGAACCAGAUGAAGAUUUAGAGCAUAUUUUCCUUGAUUCAAGUAAUUCAACUGUUUCCUAGCAAAAUUGUCUCUAGUCUCAAAAAUUAGGGGCUCUUUGGGAUUAAGUCGAUACAUUCUUUUGCCUUUUAUAAAAGUUGUAGGAAUUGGAUGAGUUUUAGCACUUUAGAGAAAACCUGAUAUGUGUCUUAUCUAAAUAAAUGUCUUCUUGAUCUGUAGGAAAAUGAACUUUUUUUAGGGGAAAAAAGUUCUAAUGGAAAAUUGGAGAAUAUUGUUAUUUUUUGUAACCAUCAGCCUCAACUAAAAGCUGUAAUUUAGGAAAAUAUUACAUUGUGUUUUAUAAUAAUUUAAAUAGCAAGUAAAAUUUUUACAUAUUAUA
Molecule: RNA transcript, 2055 nt
Organism: Dipodomys ordii (Ord's kangaroo rat)
Lineage: Eukaryota; Metazoa; Chordata; Mammalia; Rodentia; Heteromyidae
Gene name: 4-hydroxybenzoate polyprenyltransferase, mitochondrial pseudogene
Exons: 3
Source: RefSeq, a predicted model, not a curated record